GCCCAGCUAGCUCAGUUGGUAGAGCAUGAGACUCUUAAUCUCAGGGUCGUGGGUUCGAGCGCCACCUUGUGUC
Molecule: transfer RNA, 73 nt
Filed under: Cavia porcellus (domestic guinea pig)
Lineage: Eukaryota; Metazoa; Chordata; Mammalia; Rodentia; Caviidae
Rfam family: tRNA
About the family: Transfer RNA (tRNA) molecules are approximately 80 nucleotides in length. Their secondary structure includes four short double-helical elements and three loops (D, anti-codon, and T loops).
Source: Rfam by way of RNAcentral